Non-coding RNA from Cercocebus atys (sooty mangabey), 3401 nucleotides. Lineage: Eukaryota; Metazoa; Chordata; Mammalia; Primates; Cercopithecidae. The record is from the annotation of a RefSeq genome assembly.
CUCAAAUAUCCAGGGAGCCUCUGCAUGUGUGCAUCUGUAUCUCAGAUCAAUUAUAGUUGAGUUAAUUCCUGACUGUUUCAUCUCCCAGGGAUGCAGCCUCCUCUUAAAGAAGUUGGGGGUGGUAGCCCAAUCAGUGAUGUCACUGACAGAUGCAUCCUGUGGGGAUAAAAUGUCACAAAAUUCAUUUCUUUGCUCAUGCUCACAGAGGGCCUGCUCUGGAAUAUUCCACAUCUGCUCUCACUCUGCCAUGGGCUCCUGGACUCUCUGCUGUGUGUCCCUUUGUAUCGUGGUAGCGAAGCACACAGAUGCUGGAGUUAUCCAGUCACCCCGGCAUAAGGUGACAGAGAUGGGAAAAGAAGUGACUCUGAGAUGCGAACCAAUUUCAGGCCAUACCUACCUCUUCUGGUACAGACAGACCAUGAUGCGGGGACUGGAGUUCCUGAUUUACUUUAACAACAAGGAUCCGAUAGAUGAUUCAGGGAUGCCCAAGGAUCGAUUCUCAGCUAAGAUGCCUAACGCAUCAUUCUCCACUCUGAAGAUCCAGCCCUCAGAACCCAGGGACUCGGCUGUGUACUUCUGUGCCAGCAGUUUAGCCACAGCGCUGCAGAAUCACCCCUUUCCUGUGCAGAAACCCUGGUGUUUCCCCUUCUCCUUCUACCUCCAAGCAGUCCUGGGCAAAGUCUUUUCUGUUCCUCUCUCCCCUAAGACAAAAGUGGUUUUGGGGUGUGACAAAGACAGAAAAUGAGAAGGUAUCGACAUAAGAAACCUUAGGUUGGUUUGAGGAUUACAAAAUGGGUUUUUAGGGUUCCUCAAAAAUUCUCUCUGCUCAAAACACAUAGGAGUAAGAUAAACCUUGGCUACCCACACUGGAGAUUUCCCUGCCUUCCUGCAUUUGCCAUCCCAUGAGAAUGGUGGGAGCUCCUGAGAAAGGCUGCAUUUUCUGAACUAUGAGGCCCUCUUCCUUCUCUCCUAAGUUGCAAACAGAAAUUUCCCUCACACAUUUUCUAGAUUGUAAAAGAAAGUUCGUUACUAUGAUUGUGGACAUUCCUUUAUAAUGCCAAUUUCAAAUUUACAUUUACUUAGGAAUUUUUCACUACUCCUAAAGAGUGUCUCAAAUGUGGCUAGAGCAAGCAGGUUGGUACAUUAGACGUAAGUUAUCUGGCCUGGAAUCUAAGGAUCCAUUUGUCUCUAUUCUGCAUAAGAAGAACCAGGUGCUGGAUAAAGGCUGUGCACAGUCAGAAAACACUAACGAGGCCUCCUGGUGAGGACUCACACUGGGGUGUCUAAAAGCAGACAAGCAUGUCCAGUCUUCUGUUGUCCUGUUUCCUUUCUGCUUAUAUGUCCUUAACACACAAAUUUACAUUUUUCUUAUUUAUAUGAAAAGUUUCUAUACAAUACCUGCAAUCCAUUCUGAGUGGUUAUAAUUUCUCUUUGAUAUUCAUAUUUAAUAUUGAUUCCUUCUAAAUCACUAUCAUGGUAUCAUUGACAAUUGAGGCAACAGAUCCCUGUAUUUUGAGUUCCCAAGGCAACUGAGGUUUUUUGGAGUUCUGCUGUAAGCCAAAUUCCACUUCAUCAUUCUCCUAUUUUUUUUUUUUUUUUUUUUACGUACAGGGGUCCUGACACUCAAGAUGGAAAUAGUGCAGAAUUCCUCCUGGGUGCUUCCAGAUUAUUUUCCUUCCUCCUUUUCUAAAGCCCAGCUGCAUUAUAGACUUCCUUUAGCCUGAUUUGAAAUUCAUUCCAUGUGAUCAUGCAUCUGUCUCUACCUGUAUUUUGUAUCUGGCUUUUGCCUCUCACCCAUCAGUCCCAUGGCUACUAGAAGGUAUUCAAUUUCUAUUGACACAAAUUACCAUUAACUUGCUGGCUUACAAUAACUAAAAGCAAUUAUCUUACAGUUCUGCAGGUCAGAAGUCCAAAACCAGGCUAAAAUCCAGGUGUUGGCAGGACUGCAUUCCUUCCCGAGGCUCUAGGGGAGAACUGUUUUUCUCUCCUUUUCAACUUCUAGAGGCCACCAGCAUUCCUUGGCUCAUGGCCCCAUUCAAUCUUCAAAGCCAACAGGGACUGGCUGAGCCUUUGCUUGCUCUGCAUCACUCUGAGGCUCACUCUUCAUUCUCCCUCUUCCACAUUUUAGGACCCUUGUGAUUACAUUGGGCCCACCUGGAAAAUCCAGGACAUGCUCCCUGUAUUAAGGCCAGCUGAUUAGCAAGCUUCAUUCCAUUUGGAACAUUCCUUUCUCCCCUUGCCACAAAAUUUAACACAUUCCCAGUUUCUGGGAAUUAGACAUGGACAUCUUUGAGAGGUUGUCAUGCUGCCUGCCAUGCUUGGAACGUGGUUACAGGGAGUGGUAAGCAAUUAAAUUUUUGAAGACAGAAUUAUGACCACAGUUUUAUAUCCUGGGUACAACAGACCCUGCAAAAGGAUAGAACCCGCAGGGAAACAGGCCCCUCUGGUAACACAAGCUAGUCUGCAAACUAUUGCCCUUUAACAUUGGCAAGUACUUUUGAAUGCAGUGAACUCAGAAGCAUACCUCAGUGCCAAGAGUCAAAAUAUGCCCUUUUAUGGCAAGUAACUGAAUUGACCAACUCAAAAAACAAAUCUUUCUCUCAGCUUUCCAUAAUCCCUGAGAGGAAGUAGGUCUGCAGAAGUGGAGUUAUGGGGAAAAGGCCAGGUGUUAAUGAUGAAAAAACAUUGAACUUUUCUAGGGGUAGUAAUAAGAUUUAAUUCAAGAAUAGAACAUUUUAGCUGCAAGUCUUCAAGAAUAAGACAAUCUUAUCCUCUGUUUUAUUGUGGGAAUAGAGAAUGUGAGAGGUUCCAUUCCAUGGGCCUCGGGAAUUCAAUACGGUUCAAGGAUAAAUAAACCCAGGUUUUUCACUGCAGGGAAGAGCUUCAAAUAUAAUCAGUUCUCAGGGCAUCAGCUCAGCUCCUGUAUCCCUAACAAUGCAGUUGACAUGCAUCUUCUCAGAUGCCUACUCCUAACUCACUGAUGGAUAAUUUAAGUACACAUAAAGGAGUAGAAGCACCAAGCCACCAGUGAGAGGAAUGAGAGAGUUUGCAGAGAAGCUGGUUUGCAAUAAGACAAAGAGUUCAUCUUUAAAUACUUGGAGUCUGAGGUGCAGAUGGAUAAAGCUGGCAGGCUCCUAUGUAAGGCAUGUUAUGGAGAAGGUGCUAUGAAUUGUUAAUAUCAAAACAAAUACCCAGGGAGCCUCUGCAUGUGUGCAUCUGUAUCUCAGAUCCAUUAUAGUUGAGUUCAGUCCUGCCUGAUUCAUCUCCCAGAGAUGCAGCCUCCUCUUAAAGAAGUUGCCGCUGGUGGCCCAUUCAGUGAUGUCACUGACAGAUGCAUCCUGUGGGGAUAAAGUGUCACAACAUUCAUCUCUUUGCUCAUGCUCACAGAGGGCCUGCUCUGG